UGAAAUUGCCAGUUACUUGUGUCCUGUAGCC
RNAcentral lists this non-coding RNA (31 nucleotides) under Mus musculus (house mouse). The record is from RNAcentral. Lineage: Eukaryota; Metazoa; Chordata; Mammalia; Rodentia; Muridae.